This 466-nucleotide ribosomal RNA is filed under the name uncultured bacterium. Its description in RNAcentral is "SSU rRNA". It matches the Rfam family "Bacterial small subunit ribosomal RNA", at positions 26 to 518 of the family's 1533-position model. The record is from RNAcentral.
AGGACUAACGCUGGCGGCGUGCCUAACACAUGCAAGUCGAACGAGAGUAGCAAUACUCUAGUGGCAGACGGGUGAGUAACACGUGGUCAACCUUCCCUAGCGUGGGGGAUAACUAGCCGAAAGGUUAGCUAAUACCGCAUGACAUCGUCGAGUGGCAUCAUUUGACGAUCAAAGGAGCAAUCCGCGCAAGGACGGGACCGCGUCCCAUUAGCUAGUUGGUGAGGUAACGGCCCACCAAGGCUUCGAUGGGUAGCUGGUUUGAGAGAGCGACCAGCCACACUGGGACUGAGACACGGCCCAGACUCCUACGGGAGGCAGCAGUGAGGAAUUUUCCGCAAUGGGCGAAAGCCUGACGGAGCGACGUCGCGUGUGGGAAGAAGGCCUUCGGGUCGUAAACCACUGUCGAAGGGGAAGAUAUUGACGGUACCCUUGGAGGAAGCCCGGCUAACUACGUGCCAGCAGCCGC